UGGAAAAAAAAAAAGUUUAUUGUAGUGUUGCCUAGGGAUUCAUGGUAUCCUCCUCUGCUUCCUGGGCACACUUAGAGUCCUUUGCAUAGACGCCCAGGUGGGGGUGCAAUAGGCAUAAGUAUUUUAAAUAAAUAUUGUGGGUGUGUGUGGAAUAGAAAAUAUUAUUGCAGUGUAGCCUAGGGAUUCAUGGUAUCCUCCUCUGCUUCCUGGGCGCACUUAGAAGCCGUUGUAUAGACGCCGGAUUUGGGGUACAACGGUAGUAAGAUAGAAACCGCGGUAUAGACGCUCCAUAUGAGGGUACCGUUCGGGAAUAGAGACUAUGAUAGAAACCGUGAUAGGACGCUCCAUAAGAGGAUAUCGUCGGGAUUAAGUUGUUUUGAUAUUUUGUAAGGGGUUUUAUUGUGUAUUAAGGGUUGGUUAAAUAAAAUGGAUUGUAAAAAUGAA
Long non-coding RNA from Cotesia glomerata, 444 nucleotides. RefSeq lists it as uncharacterized. Lineage: Eukaryota; Metazoa; Arthropoda; Insecta; Hymenoptera; Braconidae. The transcript is spliced from 3 exons. The record is from RefSeq and is a predicted model, not a curated record.